CCCUUAGAUGUUCUGGGCCGCACGCGCGCUACACUGACGGAGUCAACGAGUUGUCCUGCAUCGGAAGGUGUGGGUAAUCUUUUGAAACUUCGUCGUGCUGGGGAUAGAUCUUUGCAAUUUUCGAUCUUGAACGAGGAAUUCCUAGUAAGCGUGAUUCAUCAGAUCGCGUUGAUUACGUCCCUGCCCUUUGUACACACCGCCCGUCGCUACUACCGAUUGAAUGGUUUAGUGAGGCCUCGGGACUGGCACGCUCGAGUAGCAAUACACCUGCGCGCCGGGAACUUGGUCAAACUUGAUCAUUUAGAGGAAGUAAAAGUCGUAACA
This 324-nucleotide ribosomal RNA is filed under the name uncultured eukaryote. RNAcentral describes it as "partial 18S ribosomal RNA". It matches the Rfam family "Eukaryotic small subunit ribosomal RNA", at positions 1470 to 1796 of the family's 1831-position model. The record is from RNAcentral.